Bufo bufo (common toad) is the source of this 458-nucleotide long non-coding RNA. RefSeq lists it as uncharacterized. The record is from RefSeq and is a predicted model, not a curated record. Lineage: Eukaryota; Metazoa; Chordata; Amphibia; Anura; Bufonidae. The transcript has 3 exons.
UAGAUGUUGUGAAUGAGCCCUGACAGGAAGGGGUAAUCUCAGGGAGGGGUCUAGAUAUGCAGCAGGCCAGGCAAUGGCCGACCACACAGGCAGCAGGAUAAGAUAACAGGCUUCUGGAGCACACCGAUAGCCAGGCUGGUGAGUGCCUUCUGCCUGCACUAUUGGGGCAGAGCUGGUAACCCAGGAGAACCCGCGCUUCACCCCCGGGGCGCCUGUCUGCCGUGAAUGCUCGCACGCUCGCAGGAUGUGGGGGAAGGGCCAGUGAGCUCCAGUCUGUUGAUGCCAUGAGAAGAAAUGAAUGGCACGUUUCUUCACUGACCUCUAUACCAGCAGAACAGCAGUGACAAAGGCACCCUGAUGCUCUAGUAUUGCAUCAAGAAAGACCAAGUACAGAAAUAAAAGUAAAGAAGAAAAUACUUCAUCUAAAUCAAGUACGGGGACGCGAACAGAAGCACACA